CGAGAGGUUGGCGCGGGCAAGCGCCUCGCCAACCUGGUCAGGUCCGGAAGGAAGCAGCCACAACGAGUCCCGCUUGGGUCGAUGUCCAGCCUCUCACUU
This 99-nucleotide signal recognition particle RNA is filed under the name Thalassococcus arenae. RNAcentral's name for it is "signal recognition particle sRNA small type". It matches the Rfam family "Bacterial small signal recognition particle RNA". From Rfam's summary of the family: The signal recognition particle (SRP) is a universally conserved ribonucleoprotein involved in the co-translational targeting of proteins to membranes. Lineage: Bacteria; Pseudomonadati; Pseudomonadota; Alphaproteobacteria; Rhodobacterales; Roseobacteraceae. The record is from RNAcentral.